RNAcentral lists this ribosomal RNA (492 nucleotides) under uncultured bacterium. RNAcentral describes it as "partial 16S ribosomal RNA". It matches the Rfam family "Bacterial small subunit ribosomal RNA", at positions 30 to 507 of the family's 1533-position model. The record is from RNAcentral.
AGCGAACGCUGGCGGCAGGCCUAACACAUGCAAGUCGAACGGAAGCACCGUAAGUGCUUGCGGUUACGGGAGGAGAAUGGCGGAAGGGUGAGGUAUGUACCGGAAUCUUCAUUUUCGUGGGGGAUAAUGUAGGGAGAGCUACGCUAAUAAAGCAUAUGACGCACGGGUGAAAGCAGGGGGCCUUUGGACCUUGUGGGGUUGUAUGAGCUGAUGAAGGGUUAGCUAGUUGGCGGGGUAAAGGCCCAGCACGGCGACGAUCCGUAGCGGGUCUGAGAGGAUGAUCAGCCACACGGGAUGGGAGACAGGCUCCAGACUCCUGCGGGAGGCAACAGCCGGGAAUCCUGGGCAAGGGGGGAGAGCCUGACCCAGCGAUACCGCGUGGGGGAAGAAGGCGCUCGGGUUGGAAAGCCCUGUUGUUGGGAGAAAAAAGCAGUAGUUUAACACCCCGCGGUACUGACGGUACCCGAAGAAGAAGCACCGGCUAACUUCGUG